GGCUGUGCCGUAACCAGUGAUCCUUGUGUUAUAAAGGGAUUACCGCACGACUCAUAAUCGUGAGGUCGGGAGAUCGAGCCUCCCCACCGCUACCA
RNAcentral lists this transfer RNA (95 nucleotides) under Pseudarthrobacter sulfonivorans. Its description in RNAcentral is "tRNA-Met". Lineage: Bacteria; Bacillati; Actinomycetota; Actinomycetes; Micrococcales; Micrococcaceae. The record is from RNAcentral.